This 253-nucleotide ribosomal RNA is filed under the name uncultured bacterium. RNAcentral describes it as "partial 16S ribosomal RNA". It matches the Rfam family "Bacterial small subunit ribosomal RNA", at positions 524 to 776 of the family's 1533-position model. The record is from RNAcentral.
UACGUAGGGGGCAAGCGUUGUCCGGAUUUAUUGGGCGUAAAGAGCGUGUAGGCGGUCUGGUAGGUCCGUUGUGAAAACUCGAGGCUCAACCUCGAGACGCCGAUGGAAACCCUCAGACUAGAGUCCGGAAGAGGAGAGUGGGAUUCCUGGUGUAGCGGUGAAAUGCGCAGAUAUCAGGAAGAACACCCGUGGCUAAGGCGGCUCUCUAGUACGUGACUGACGCUGAGACGCGAAAGCGUGGGGAGCGAACAGG